AAUGAACGUUGGCGGCGUGGAUUAGGCAUGCAAGUCGAGCGAGAACCCCGCAAGGGGGGACAGCGGCAAACGGGGUAGGAACGGGUGGGUGACGUACCCUUCGGCCGGGGAUAGCCACGGGAAACUGUGGGUAAUACCCGAUAAUCUCUCAGGCGGUAAUCGUUUGGGAGCAAAGGUGUGAUUCCUCCGGAGGAGCGGCCCGCCUCGUAUUAGCUUGUUGGUGAGGUAACGGCUCACCAAGGCGACGAUGCGUAGGGGGUGUGAGAGCAUGACCCCCACGACUGGGACUGAGAUACUGCCCAGACACCUACGGGUGGCUGCAGUCGAGAAUCUUCGGCAAUGGGCGCAAGCCUGACCGAGCGACGCCGCGUGUGGGAUGAAGGCCCUUGGGUUGUAAACCACUGUCAGAGGGGAUGAAGUGCCAGAGAGUUAUCUCUCUGGUUUGACAUAGCCUCAGAGGAAGCACGGGCUAAGUUCGUGCCAGCCGCCGCCGUAA
Molecule: ribosomal RNA, 496 nt
Filed under: uncultured bacterium
Lineage: Bacteria
Description: partial 16S ribosomal RNA
Rfam family: Bacterial small subunit ribosomal RNA
Source: RNAcentral